UACGGGGGGGGCAAGCGUUGUUCGGAAUUACUGGGCGUAAAGGGCUCGUAGGUGGCCAACUAAGUCAUACGUGAAAUCCCUCAGCUUAACUGGGGAACUGCGCCUGAUACUGGUUGGCUUGAGUUUGGGAGAGGGACGCGGAAUUCCAGGUGUAGCGGUGAAAUGCGUAGAUAUCUGGAGAACACCGGUGGCGAAGGCGGCGUCCUGGACCAACACUGACGCUCAUGCACGAAAGCGUGGGGAGCAAACGGG
This 252-nucleotide ribosomal RNA is filed under the name uncultured bacterium. RNAcentral's name for it is "partial 16S ribosomal RNA". It matches the Rfam family "Bacterial small subunit ribosomal RNA", at positions 524 to 776 of the family's 1533-position model. The record is from RNAcentral.